GACGAACGCUGGCGGCGCGCCUAACACAUGCCAGUCGAACGAGCGAGCGAGAGCUUGCUUUCUUGAGCGAGUGGCGAACGGGUGAGUAACGCGUGAGGAACCUGCCUCAAAGAGGGGGACAACAGUUGGAAACGACUGCUAAUACCGCAUAAGCCCACGACCCGGCAUCGGGUUGAGGGAAAAGGAGCCAUCCGCUUUGAGAUGGCCUCGCGUCCGAUUAGCUAGUUGGUGAGGUAACGGCCCACCAAGGCGACGAUCGGUAGCCGGACUGAGAGGUUGAACGGCCACAUUGGGACUGAGACACGGCCCAGACUCCUACGGGAGGCAGCAGUGGGGAAUAUUGCACAAUGGGGGAAACCCUGAUGCAGCGACGCCGCGUGGAGGAAGAAGGUCUUCGGAUUGUAAACUCCUGUUGUUGAGGAAGAUAAUGACGGUACUCAACAAGGAAGUGACGGCUAACUACGUG
RNAcentral lists this ribosomal RNA (466 nucleotides) under uncultured bacterium. RNAcentral's name for it is "partial 16S ribosomal RNA". It matches the Rfam family "Bacterial small subunit ribosomal RNA", at positions 28 to 507 of the family's 1533-position model. The record is from RNAcentral.